AAUCCAUUGUGUGGGCAGUCACAUAUUAGCCCCUUGAAUCUCGCCCAUGCGUCACUGACUGAUUCAUCUUCUUCUUGUUCAAAAUUAGUGAUCAAUCUCCUCCUUUU
Benincasa hispida (wax gourd) is the source of this 107-nucleotide small nucleolar RNA. The record is from RefSeq and is a predicted model, not a curated record. Lineage: Eukaryota; Viridiplantae; Streptophyta; Magnoliopsida; Cucurbitales; Cucurbitaceae.